GACGAACGCUGGCGGCGUGCCUAACACAUGCAAGUCGAACGGAGCUUUUAUGGAAUGCGACUUCGGUCAAAUGAAGUUUAAGCUUAGUGGCGGACGGGUGAGUAACGCGUGAGCAACCUGCCUUUCAGAGGGGGACAACAGUUGGAAACGACUGCUAAUACCGCAUAUGCCUAAGUACCACAUGGUACAAUAGGGAAAGAGCAAUCCGCUGAUAGAUGGGCUUGCGUCUGAUUAGAUAGUUGGUGGGGUAACGGCCUACCAAGUCGACGAUGGGUAGCCGGACUGAGAGGUUGAACGGCCACAUUGGAACUGAGAUACGGUCCAGACUCCUACGGGAGCAGCAGUGGGGAAUAUUGGGCAAUGGGGGAAACCCUGACCCAGCGACGCCGCGUGAAGGAGAGGGUCUUCGGGAUUG
RNAcentral lists this ribosomal RNA (415 nucleotides) under uncultured bacterium. Its description in RNAcentral is "bacterial SSU rRNA". It matches the Rfam family "Bacterial small subunit ribosomal RNA", at positions 28 to 425 of the family's 1533-position model. The record is from RNAcentral.